This 247-nucleotide unclassified non-coding RNA is filed under the name uncultured fungus. Its description in RNAcentral is "partial contains 5.8S ribosomal RNA, internal transcribed spacer 2, and large subunit ribosomal RNA". The stretch from base 1 to 52 matches the Rfam family "5.8S ribosomal RNA", at positions 103 to 154 of the family's 154-position model. The record is from RNAcentral. Lineage: Eukaryota; Fungi.
AACGCACAUUGCGCCCCUCGGUAUUCCGGGGGGCAUGCCUGUUCGAGCGUCAUUGCACCCCUCAAGCGUAGCUUGGUAUUGGGCUCUCGCCUCCCCCGGCGUGCCCGAAAAGUAUAGGCGGUCCGGCGUGGCUUCAAGCGUAGUAAAAUUAUUCCCGCUUUGAAAGUCUCCACGUCUGACCCGCCAGACAACCCCAAUUAUUCAAUGAAUUGACCUCGGAUCAGGUAGGGAUACCCGCUGAACUUAA